Molecule: ribosomal RNA, 675 nt
Filed under: Triticum aestivum (bread wheat)
Lineage: Eukaryota; Viridiplantae; Streptophyta; Magnoliopsida; Poales; Poaceae
Description: partial small subunit ribosomal RNA
Source: RNAcentral
AUGGUAGCACAUGGUGUGGUUACAAACAUCAAAGUUUUUCCAGAAAGGCAGUAUGCUUUUGUGGAGUUUGCAACAAUUGAAGGAGCUUCUAAUGCUAACAAACUUCUAGAUGGGCGUCUUUUCAAUAAUACAAGGAUUCAUGUUCUUUUCUCCAGCAGUGGGCUUGAUAACCUAACAACGCUUGUUGGGUUCCCUAGAUCAGAGAUGUACAAUGAUAGUCCACAUGCGGCACGUGAUUAUUUUGGUGUUGGUCGCAGUAGUGAUGGCACAUCACAAGGGUAUGAUCCUCGACGUGGAAGAGCAAGAUACUUGGACUAUGGUGCAAUGCCAAUCACUGUUGGUAUCCUUCCAGCACCUGAAGUUGGCUCGUCUUUGUUGUCUGGACAUUCUGCUCAUAGUGCGCUCAAUUCAAGAGAAGCCAAAAGGGUGAGGCUGGAUGCUGGCAUCGACCCUUACCAUGUAAGGACAGGCAUUGAGGGUCUUCAUCCGGGUCUGGAAGCUUUUUUUACCCUUGAUCUUCAGCGAAUUGUUUUCUACCACUUAUGGAUUGUUUUUUCCGGACCUAUAGCAAAUUCUUUUCCGGAUUGGGGAACAAGGGUCAGGUCGGGCAGCUAUUUUUUUCUCGGAUCUUUAGAGAAUCAUUUUCUACCACUUAUGGAUGGCAGUGGUGGGUAA